UAAUACAGGAGGAGGAGAAAUAGGAGU
Molecule: non-coding RNA, 27 nt
Filed under: Rattus norvegicus (Norway rat)
Lineage: Eukaryota; Metazoa; Chordata; Mammalia; Rodentia; Muridae
Source: RNAcentral